Molecule: transfer RNA, 89 nt
Filed under: Thermotogota bacterium ADurb.Bin062
Lineage: Bacteria; Thermotogati; Thermotogota
Also listed under: 2 other names
Description: Thermotogae bacterium ADurb.Bin062 tRNA-Leu
Rfam family: tRNA
About the family: Transfer RNA (tRNA) molecules are approximately 80 nucleotides in length. Their secondary structure includes four short double-helical elements and three loops (D, anti-codon, and T loops).
Source: RNAcentral
GCCGAGAUGGCGGAACCGGCAGACGCACCGGUCUCAAAAACCGGCGAGGUUGAUCCCUCAUGAGGGUUCGAGUCCCUCUCUCGGCACCA